Molecule: long non-coding RNA, 417 nt
Organism: Mauremys mutica (yellowpond turtle)
Lineage: Eukaryota; Metazoa; Chordata; Testudines; Geoemydidae
Exons: 3
Source: RefSeq, a predicted model, not a curated record
CUGGAAACAGCCACUCGUGGCGGCGUUGGUACACCGAAUAUCCCUGCACAAACCUCAACGGCACAACGGCAUUAUCAGACGACCGAAGUUCUUCCUGCUCCAAAGGUAACCUAUCGUCAGCUACCUGGCCCGGAGUGGAGCGGACCUGUGCCACUAAUCACCUGGGGGCGCGGUUACGCAGCUGUAUCAACACCAAGCGGCCCGCUCUGGGUACCUGCACGAUACGUUCGACCAUACAAGGAUGGCGUGGCAUCAGGGACUGAGCAACCCCAUCCCUGACUUCAACAUACACUUAUAUGAUGAACAAGGAAAAGUAACAACGGGCCGAAAACGAGGGGGCCAGCGAAAUGCACCUGCCACAUGGGGCCAAGUAAAGAACCUAGCUAAUCAGGCUGAACAACUGUUGGAAAAAACAGG